AUCAUUCUCUUUUUCCGUUUCUUUUCUCAACUCUUUCAAACUCCACGUAAUUCUGCGUUGUGAACACAUUCAUAUACCCAAAUCACAUUCCGGAGAUACAUAUGCAUAUUCACUCUGCGGAAUUCUACCGAAGAUACUCCGGGCUGCUGUCUUUCUUUGUACGGUGUCUUUAAUUUUCUAUUUUUCCGGUUUCAGGAAAGCUAGCCUACUCCACGCAUCCAAGGAAGCAGUCUUAUUACAGCAUGCUGGAUUCUUUAGCAAGCUGCAUUUCCUAACCCAUUAAUCUAUACUUGUUUCUUUGUGAGAAGUUAACAUUAUUAAUUAAUUAAGUGCUUUGGGAGUUAGGAUACAUCUUGAGUUGGAAAGUUACUUAAAGAGGUAACAAUGUGUGAAUCAGAAUCAGAUUCUGGGGCUAAUUUUUUUGAUGUGGAUGCCUUCUUUAGUUAUAACUAUGGAGGCCUUCAUAAAAGUUAUAACUAUGGAGAAAGUAGUGAGCUUGGCGCAAUCUGUUGUCAACCACCGUAUACUGAUGGUACAGUGUAUAGCAACACCAAUAAUUAUGAGGACAUUUCCCAUACUCUUCACGAAGAUCU
Molecule: long non-coding RNA, 593 nt
Organism: Ipomoea nil (Japanese morning glory)
Lineage: Eukaryota; Viridiplantae; Streptophyta; Magnoliopsida; Solanales; Convolvulaceae
Exons: 3
Source: RefSeq, a predicted model, not a curated record